RNAcentral lists this small RNA (126 nucleotides) under Marmota monax (woodchuck). Lineage: Eukaryota; Metazoa; Chordata; Mammalia; Rodentia; Sciuridae. The record is from RNAcentral.
GCCGAGUGCGGUGGCCCACGCCUGUAAUCCCAGCAGCUCGGGAGGCUGAGGCAGGAGGAUCAUGAGUUCAAAGCCAGCCUCAGCAAAAAGCGAGGCGCUAAGCAACUCAGUGAGACCCUGUCUCUA